GGCCUUACGAGGCAUGUGCACGCCCUGCUCAUCCGCUCCUACACCUGUGCACUUACUGUGGGUUUACGAGUCGCGAAACAGGCCCGUUCAUUCGGGCUUGUGGAGCGCACUUGUUGCCUGCGUUUAUCACAAACUCUAUAAAGUAUUAGAAUGUGUAUUGCGAUGUAACGCAUCUAUAUACAACUUUCAGCAACGGAUCUCUUGGCUCUCGCAUCGAUGAAGAACGCAGCGAAAUGCGAUAAGUAAUGUGAAUUGCAGAAUUCAGUGAAUCAUCGAAUCUUUGAACGCACCUUGCGCUCCUUGGUAUUCCGAGGAGCAUGCCUGUUCGAGUGUCAUGAAAUCUUCAACUUUACGAGCUUCUUGCGAGGUUUGUAGGGUUGGACUUGGAGGCUUGUCGGUCUUUAAAGGUCGGCUCCUCUUAAAUGCAUUAGCUUGGUUCCUUGCGGAUCGGGUUGUCGGUGUGAUAAUGUCUACGCCGCGACCGUGAAGCGUUUGGCAAGCUUCUAACCGUCUCGGUAUAGAGACAAGUUUUAUGACCUCUGACCUCAAAUCAGGUAGGACUACCCGCUGAACUUAAGCAUAUC
Molecule: ribosomal RNA, 584 nt
Filed under: Ganoderma adspersum
Lineage: Eukaryota; Fungi; Basidiomycota; Agaricomycetes; Polyporales; Polyporaceae
Description: eukaryotic LSU rRNA
Rfam family: 5.8S ribosomal RNA (bases 182-335)
Source: RNAcentral